GAUGAACGCUGGCGGCGUGCCUAAUACAUGCAAGUCGAGCGAACAGACGAGGAGCUUGCUCCUCUGACGUUAGCGGCGGACGGGUGAGUAACACGUGGAUAACCUACCUAUAAGACUGGGAUAACUUCGGGAAACCGGAGCUAAUACCGGAUAAUAUAUUGAACCGCAUGGUUCAAUAGUGAAAGACGGUUUUGCUGUCACUUAUAGAUGGAUCCGCGCCGCAUUAGCUAGUUGGUAAGGUAACGGCUUACCAAGGCAACGAUGCGUAGCCGACCGGAGAGGAGGAUAGGCAACACGGGAACGUAGACAGGGGCCAGAGGACGAAGGGAGGCAGCAGACGGGAAUAGUGGACAAUGGGCGGAAGACGGACACAGCUAUAGGGAGUGAGUGAAGAAGGUGUUGGGGGUGUAAAGCCCUUUUGUGGGUAAAGAACAGAAGUAGGCUAAGAUCCAGCGGUCAGGACGGUACCCAAAGAAGAAGCACCGGCUAACUUCGUG
This 497-nucleotide ribosomal RNA is filed under the name uncultured bacterium. RNAcentral's name for it is "partial 16S ribosomal RNA". It matches the Rfam family "Bacterial small subunit ribosomal RNA", at positions 28 to 507 of the family's 1533-position model. The record is from RNAcentral.